AAAGAACGAAACGAUUGUCCAGCCGUUCGAACAAGUCGUGCAGUCGGCUGAGAGGACCAGCUGAGAGGAACCCAAUAUUUUGGUCCCAAUUUCUUAUUAAAAUCUUCGAAAAUGUGGUACGAAAUUAUACCCAGCAUGGCCGCCGUGACCACCUUCCUUGGCAUACCCACCUUGUUGAUCGCAGGCAUCCACAAAAUUGCAUAUGGCAACUUGUACCAGCGAGACCUGAAUGAGGAAAGGCAGAGAUUCAUGUUCCUCCGAGAUGAACGCUUAACAGGCAGUGGAUUCAAGCAUUUUGGUCUAGAAAAAAUCCCAGAUGAAGAAGCCACAGAAUAGGGACCUUCAACAUUGUAUAAAACUCUUAUAUAGUUUAGCUGUAUAUAACAAGAUCACAUAUGGUUCUUUGUAAUGAUGAUGAUUAUUAUUAAAUUAUAGACUCUUA
Molecule: long non-coding RNA, 442 nt
Filed under: Penaeus japonicus
Lineage: Eukaryota; Metazoa; Arthropoda; Malacostraca; Decapoda; Penaeidae
Description: uncharacterized LOC122245970
Source: RNAcentral